Long non-coding RNA from Dermacentor albipictus, 1341 nucleotides. RefSeq lists it as uncharacterized. The record is from RefSeq and is a predicted model, not a curated record. Lineage: Eukaryota; Metazoa; Arthropoda; Arachnida; Ixodida; Ixodidae.
UCAACGGCGGAGCCGCUGCAAGGACUCCGCGGGGGUCGUUGCCUGCGGAAUGGGCCACGGACUCGGCGAGGCGCGCCACGCAAACAGGCGAACCCCGCGCGCGCCGCCGCUUUCUUUUUCCUGUUGCGGAGGCCGAGCGAGCGCGCGCACACACCACGCCACUUGUGCCUUCCUCUCUCUCUCUCUCUCUCUCUCUCUCUCUCUCUCUCUCUCUCUUUCUUUCUUUCUUUUCUUACAGCGUCGUCGAUCGAACCACGAGUCACAGGAAGGAAGGAAGGAAGGAAGGAAGGAAGGAAGGAAGGAAGGAAGGAAGGAAGGAAGGAAAAAGUGGAGAAGGAAAGCUCGGCAUCUCCGCACCCGGACUUUCUUUCCCUGCGGGGGUCACACGUGCGGAAGGCACUCCGUCCAUUUAUUGUCAAUGCGACGAGGGCAAGUCGGCGGCGACGUUGACAGACUGCGGUGACCGGUCGUGCGAGGCGUCGCCGAGUGCCGGGACGGAAUGCCACGCGCCCACUCUAUAUAUCUCGGGCCGCGACGGAGCUGUACAACGAUGUGCCGAGAAAGACGACGACGACGACACCGAAGAAGCAGGAAAGACAAUGGCUUAGGAUUCAUCAAAGUCUCGGCUUUCCCUUUGGCGACACGAGGAUGAUGACAUUAUGUGCGUUUUAAAGGACAAGGUACAAGGAAAGGUGGACGGAGGUUGCGUUCCGUGUCGGGUGGUUGUCUUCGGUGUAGUGCUUGACAGGCACGGUAGCAGCAGUAACGUCGUGAAUAAGUAACGUGUAUAAAAUAUGCAGUGUGCUACAGAAAUGUGCGCGUGUUCGGUUUCUUCGAAGCUCAGUAAAUAAAUUGAGUGAAAUAAAGUCAGUCAGUCAGUCCGAGUGACAAUCGAGCGACUUAAAUAAAAUAAAUAUCAAAACCGUAGCCACUAUGGCUCCUACAUGGACCACCGUUUUUAACAUAUACGCCGUCCCAUUCUACGUGAGCCCCGUAUGUUGAUCGCACAGAGAAAGACAUCAGUUCGAGAGUACUGUCUGUAGAUGAAACACAGUUAUUCACGAAUCCGAGUUCAGCCUUAUUAUCAUUGAGGCAUCUCACUUAACAUGCUGCUUAAGUUCCUCAUAUAAGAGUGACCAGAACAAAUCCGUGAUGUGUUACACUUAACACCGAACAAGAAUCCAACUUCUGUAUUUAAAAUAAAUAAUUCACGCAAUCUGAACUUCAAGCAACGAAUAUGGCAGCCUCACAAGACGAAUACAAGUGGUUCUCUAAGAAAAAAAAACAUUUUUAAUGAGAAAAUUUAUUUCAUAUCCUCAUGUCAUUUCAUAUUGCCACGUA